Molecule: ribosomal RNA, 562 nt
Filed under: Penicillium sp.
Lineage: Eukaryota; Fungi; Ascomycota; Eurotiomycetes; Eurotiales; Aspergillaceae
Description: eukaryotic LSU rRNA
Rfam family: 5.8S ribosomal RNA (bases 181-333)
Source: RNAcentral
CAUUACCGAGUGAGGGCCCUUUGGGUCCAACCUCCCACCCGUGUUUAUUUACCUCGUUGCUUCGGCGGGCCCGCCUUAACUGGCCGCCGGGGGGCUCACGCCCCCGGGCCCGCGCCCGCCGAAGACACCCCCGAACUCUGCCUGAAGAUUGUCGUCUGAGUGAAAAUAUAAAUUAUUUAAAACUUUCAACAACGGAUCUCUUGGUUCCGGCAUCGAUGAAGAACGCAGCGAAAUGCGAUACGUAAUGUGAAUUGCAAAUUCAGUGAAUCAUCGAGUCUUUGAACGCACAUUGCGCCCCCUGGUAUUCCGGGGGGCAUGCCUGUCCGAGCGUCAUUGCUGCCCUCAAGCCCGGCUUGUGUGUUGGGCCCCGUCCUCCGAUUCCGGGGGACGGGCCCGAAAGGCAGCGGCGGCACCGCGUCCGGUCCUCGAGCGUAUGGGGCUUUGUCACCCGCUCUGUAGGCCCGGCCGGCGCUUGCCGAUCAACCCAAAUUUUUAUCCAGGUUGACCUCGGAUCAGGUAGGGAUACCCGCUGAACUUAAGCAUAUCAAUAAGCGGAGGAAAA